This is a long non-coding RNA of Glycine soja, 1281 nucleotides long. RefSeq lists it as uncharacterized. The transcript is spliced from 3 exons. The record is from RefSeq and is a predicted model, not a curated record. Lineage: Eukaryota; Viridiplantae; Streptophyta; Magnoliopsida; Fabales; Fabaceae.
UUUGUUCUCUCUCUCUUAUCAUAUAGCUGUUACUCUUUCUCCUUGAUAUUUUCGCUUUCUCUCUCUCGGGUAACGCACUGGUCGCGCUUCUUCGUUGCAGCACUGAGUGAGGUGGUUCACUCUCUCUGCCUCUUUCUCUUCUCUAUCCCUAGAAACAAACCAUCAUAUUCUCAGAUCUAUACCAAAAGCAAAACCCUAAACACUUCCUUGCCUUGUUUUGGUUCCUCUUCUGAUUUGAUCUCAUCAUCAAUGGCUUUCGCAUGCAGUAGAAUCGCGCAACGAACAUCAAUUUCAUCUAUAAAAUCAGCCAUCAAAUUCAACAUUCGCGCUUCUUCAUUCUCCAAACCAGCUUCCUCCUUUUCUCCUAUUCACAAUCCUUAUUGACCAGGAUUUCGCAGGAGCUGAGAUGCACGCAGUUGAUGUUGCCGCUGCACAGCACGGUGGUGGCGGCGAGAAUGACGUCGUGUCUGACUUUCAAAAGUUGUCGAGCGCUUUCACCGGAGUUCUUUAAAAAGGAGCCUAGGUGGACUAUGUGUGCAAUUCUCAGCCCAACUUUUAAAAUACGGGAGUUUCAGGUAAAAAUUUUCCCUGCCAUUGUAAUGUUUUAAAAUUACUCAAUAUAAAACUGUUCAGAUCUUUUUAGGAAUUUUAUAUUGUGACAACCAGGCCAAGUUUCCUCAUCAAUGUUCCCCAAAACACUUACAAUUCUGCUGACUUUGAAAUAUUCUUCAUGACUCAAGGUUCCCUGAUUUGGAUUUUCAUAUGCAGUUUGGUUUAAGUUAACUAAUUGAGAAAUAGAUUUACGAUGUUGGGUUGAGCUUUCAUCAUAUAAUAAACUAGGAAUAGUUUUGAAGCAUAACUUUUCCUUUUCUGCUGUUUGGGUUAAAAUGACCAUGAUUGUUAGUUAUCAAUGUCGAAUGUAAUUCCUGUUACAUGGUUUGUGACAAUCAUUGUGUUCCUUUCUUGAGAAUCUUUCAGUCCAAUUAUUUGAUGUGUAGUCAUGGUAUAUAUCAAAAUCUAUUAACUAAUAGACCAUUCUCUGUAAGGCUUCUUUUUGACCUUGGACCUCGGUGUAACUGGUUUUUGAAAAAUACUUGUUUAGGAUAUCUUGUGUCACAUAGCUUGGACUAAUCCAUUUCAUUAUUAGUAGAGCUCCUUUGACAUGAUCAUAUCCUGUACUUCAUGUUAGUUACUUUCUAUUUCUACGUAAUUUAUCGCAUUAUAAGUGUAUGUUCCUCUUCCUUUAAUUACACUCUAUAAUUUAUCGCAGGGUGUUUAUAA